Long non-coding RNA from Fukomys damarensis (Damara mole-rat), 175 nucleotides. RefSeq lists it as uncharacterized. The record is from RefSeq and is a predicted model, not a curated record. The transcript has 3 exons. Lineage: Eukaryota; Metazoa; Chordata; Mammalia; Rodentia; Bathyergidae.
AGAAGGUUCCAGCGCCAGACUCAGGGCGCCAUGUAACGGGGCGCAGCAGUGGGGGCACACGGGGACAGGAAAUGCUCUGCUCUGAUUCCUGAGGAAGACCCCGCAGGUUCGCUGCUCAGGGAGUUGCUGUGGGAGUUGCUGAGUCCCGCCGAAGUUUGCUCUGAUUUCUGAGACA